Molecule: long non-coding RNA, 539 nt
Filed under: Homo sapiens (human)
Lineage: Eukaryota; Metazoa; Chordata; Mammalia; Primates; Hominidae
Description: non-protein coding lnc-COL3A1-3:1
Source: RNAcentral
GCGAGAUAGUCCAGUGGGCCCACAGAUAACGACCAUCAGAGAUUAAAGAAGGAAAGUCAGCGAGCUUGAACACAGGCGUCCCGUGUGGAAAUGUCCAAGGAGACCGCCAGAAGUGCGCAAGCCGGAGUCGGCUAGAGUUUCCUUCUCACCGAGAGGGGGAGCCCGGCGUUCCCGGCCGGGAGCGACCCGGAGUCCCCAGCCCCGCGUCCCAGCUGCCGCCAGCGCCAGUUUUGGAUUCGGCGGAUUAGGAAGAGGAGGGAGGGGGGAGAGAGCGCGAAGAGGGAGGGGACCGAAGCUGGAGGGUCCCGAGUCCAGCGCCGUGUUGGCGUAGAGAAACUUUCCCUCUCGGCCUCGGAGACGGCGCCCCGGCCGUGCCGGAGUGGAGAUCGCCAGGCUCGGAGGAACCGGCAGCUCUCCACGCCCCUGCCCGAAGCCUGACCCGACUGCCUCUCUCAGUGAGCAGCAAGAAUUGAAGACUUAAGGGUUUGAGCAGAUGGUUUUCUACCUAAAUUGAAUAAUUCAAUUACGUAUUCUCAGCU